GCCUACGGGACGCAGCAGUGAGGAAUAUUGGUCAAUGGGAGAGAUCCUGAACCAGCCAAGCCGCGUGAGGGAAGACGGCCCUAUGGGUUGUAAACCUCUUUCGUCGGAGAACAAAACCCGGGACGAGUCCCGGACUGCGUGUAUCCGAAGAAAAAGCAUCGGCUAACUCCGUGCCAGCAGCCGCGGUAAUACGGAGGAUGCGAGCGUUAUCCGGAUUUAUUGGGUUUAAAGGGUGCGUAGGCGGUCUGUUAAGUCAGCGGUAACAUUGCGGGGCUCAACCCCGUCGGGCCGUUGAAUCUGGCCGG
This 305-nucleotide ribosomal RNA is filed under the name uncultured bacterium. RNAcentral's name for it is "bacterial SSU rRNA". It matches the Rfam family "Bacterial small subunit ribosomal RNA", at positions 337 to 640 of the family's 1533-position model. The record is from RNAcentral.